AUCUUCGGCAAUGGGCGAAAGCCUGACCGAGCGACGCCGUGUGAGCGAUGAAGGCCAUUAGGUUGUAAAGCUCUGUCGAGGGGGAACAAGCCGCAAGGUUGAGUGAUCCCUGGAGGAAGCACGGGCUAAGUUCGUGCCAGCAGCCGCGGUAAGACGAACCGUGCGAACGUUGUUCGGAAUCAUUGGGCUUAAAGGGCGCGUAGGCGGGUGUUCAAGUCCGGGGUGAAAGCCUCCAGCUCAACUGGAGAAGAGCCCCGGAUACUGUUCACCUGGAGAGAGAUAGGGGCACAUGGAACUUCCGGUGGAGCGGUGAAAUGCGUAGAGAUCGGAAGGAACGCCGGUGGCGAAAGCGAUGUGCUGGAUCUUUUCUGACGCUGAGGCGCGAAAGCUAGGGGAGCAAACGGGAUUAGAUACCCCGGUAGUCCUAGCCCUAAACGAUGGGUACUGGGUUGCGGGUCAGACAUAGACUCGCAGCCGAAGCAAAAGUGUUAAGUACCCCGCCUGGGGAGUAUGGUCGCAAGGCUGAAACUCAAAGGAA
RNAcentral lists this ribosomal RNA (538 nucleotides) under uncultured bacterium. Its description in RNAcentral is "bacterial SSU rRNA". It matches the Rfam family "Bacterial small subunit ribosomal RNA", at positions 361 to 909 of the family's 1533-position model. The record is from RNAcentral.